UACGUAGGGCGCAAGCGUUGUCCGGAAUUAUUGGGCGUAAAGAGCUCGUAGGCGGUUUGUCGCGUCUGCUGUGAAAACCUAAGGCUCAACCUUGGGCUUACAGUGGGUACGGGCAGACUAGAGUGCGGUAGGGGUGACUGGAAUUCCUGGUGUAGCGGUGGAAUGCGCAGAUAUCAGGAGGAACACCGAUGGCGAAGGCAGGUCACUGGGCCGCAACUGACGCUGAGGAGCGAAAGCGUGGGGAGCGAACAGG
RNAcentral lists this ribosomal RNA (253 nucleotides) under uncultured bacterium. RNAcentral describes it as "partial 16S ribosomal RNA". It matches the Rfam family "Bacterial small subunit ribosomal RNA", at positions 524 to 776 of the family's 1533-position model. The record is from RNAcentral.